UACGGAGGGUGCAAGCGUUAUCCGGAUUCACUGGGCUUAAAGGGUGCGUAGGUGGGCAAGUAAGUCAGUGGUGAAAUCUCCGGGCUUAACCCGGAAACUGCCAUUGAUACUAUUUGUCUUGAAUACUGUUGAGGUCAGCGGAAUAUGUCAUGUAGCGGUGAAAUGCUUAGAUAUGACAUAGAACACCAAUUGCGAAGGCAGCUGGCUAGGCAAAUAUUGGCACUGAGGCACGAAAGCGUGGGGAUCAAACAGG
Molecule: ribosomal RNA, 253 nt
Filed under: uncultured bacterium
Lineage: Bacteria
Description: partial 16S ribosomal RNA
Rfam family: Bacterial small subunit ribosomal RNA
Source: RNAcentral